CUUUAUACCUAACUAUUAUCUGAACCCUGUAAGCUAGGCUUUAGGUUGGGGUGACCGCGGAGUAAAACAAAACCUCCGCAAUGAACGAAACUACCGUCUUAUCUAAGAAUAAUCCCUCUAAGAAUUAGCACUCUAACAUAAAUGAUCCAAUUAUUGAUCAACGGACCAAGUUACCCUGGGGAUAACAGCGCAAUCCACUUCAAGAGCUCCUAUCGACAGGUGGGUUUACGACCUCGAUGUUGGAUCAGGGUAUCCCAGUGGUGUAGCAGCUACUAAUGGCUCGUUUGUUCAACGAUUAAAACCCU
RNAcentral lists this ribosomal RNA (305 nucleotides) under Gephyromantis luteus. RNAcentral describes it as "partial 16S ribosomal RNA". It matches the Rfam family "Bacterial large subunit ribosomal RNA", at positions 2229 to 2597 of the family's 2925-position model. The record is from RNAcentral. Lineage: Eukaryota; Metazoa; Chordata; Amphibia; Anura; Mantellidae.